ACCCCGCCCGCAGCCCAAACCCUAGAUCAGAUCCCAUCGACCCCUCCCACCAUCGCACCCCUCCUCCCUCGUCCCCAUCUCCUCGCCGCCUCCGCCACGUCCUCCCCGUCCCCGGCCCCCUCCCGAUCCAGUCCUCUGUCUCAUUCCCCUCGUCCAAAACCACCAACGCGACGGCGCACCCACCCAUCCACCAACGCGAGCUCCUCUCUCCCUCGUCUCUCCCUCUCCCCCGCACCACUCCUCCCUGCCACCACCACCACCACCUAUGGCGCCCGAUCCCGCCUGAAGCCGGUGUCCUCCGGCGGCUCCGAGCACACCACGGUGACCCCAUCCCUCUGAUCCUUCCUCCCAUCCAUGGCAGCGAAUGAGCCAUCCAAAUCGACCCCUAUUCCUCGAGAGCAGCGGCAGCACCACCCACACAUGGCCUCCCUGAUGGCGAGAUCCGGCCUCCGCUCCCUGGCGGCGCGCGCCAGGCCCCCCGCCCUGGCCCCGGUCGGGCGCCGCAUGUCCUCCUCCGCCCAUGACGAUGCCUGUCCAUACACCUCCUGAACCCUCCCUCCCUCCCUCUCUUCUAUCCCCUAAUUCGAUCGGUCGUUUGACGUGGAUUUGGGGAUAAACAACAGUAUUUUGUAGAUGAACAGGCCAAAUGGCUUUACUUUUUCAUUAAAGCUAGUCCCAUAUAGUAUAUUGAUUGACGGUUGGAAUCUAGAAUGGUUGUUAUGAUUUAGGUCUGGCACUGGCAGAGCCUCAGUUGAGUAUAUUAGUUAUAGCAGUAUGGCAUGUUUGUUAUUUUAGAUAGGGAAUCGGCGAAGGAUUCUAGGGUACUUUAUCCUUUUGAAGUUGGGUUUUCCCAUUAAGCAAAGUGCACCUUCUCCAGUUUAUCAUUUCAAAAAUCAACUUGUACAGUAAUGAUUUGUGCACUACCACCAUACGUGGUCUUAUUCUAAUCCUUUUCUGAGAAACAUGACUAUGAUGUCAAGUAGCGUGUUUAAGUUUUUGGAGCAAAAGAGUGAGUGUCCAUAUGAUAAAAUAACACGCUAGCUCAUCUUUUUUCUGCUACCCUAAGGAACCCUGAUAACGAAGUUAUGUGGGAGAUUUCUGUGUUAUAUCAUCUUUAGGCAGACGAUGCAGAUUUUGUUUCUUUAGUGAAGUCAGUCUAGCUCAGAAUGCAUUUGCCAGGACAAGACGGGUAGCGUCUGCCCGUCUAGUAGAUCAGUACUUAAGUACACGCCCUCCCUCUCCUCUGUUCUGACAGUAUGGUAUCAUUCUGUUAGGGGUGAACAUAAUACAAGUCUAAGCAGAUUGUACUAACUACUGAGUACUGCUGCUCAUUAGGACACAUGUUUGCUUAGUUUAAAAACAUGCAUUUUUGCUACAGUUUAUGAUUUUGUUUUGUUUAGCAUGCUUCAUAUAUGAUGUAUAUAUAUUGGAUCUUUCGGUUUUAAUAUAAACAAACAACCCCAUUAAUACAUGGAUAUAGCGAUGUUUGAAGUACAAGUUUGUGGCUUAUGGUACUUCUGCAUUCGUGCUUAUCCGUUGUAAUGAAAACUAUUUCUUUGCAUAUUGUUGUCUUAAGGUGUCUUCGUUGUUGAGUUGGUGUACAAAUACGAUAGGUUGUUUGGGUUCAGACAAAAUACUUCUAUUGCUCCUCUAUUGCUGCACCUCCUCCUGCUUGCCUCUUCUCUGAAUCCACUAAACCUGCUGCUGCACUUCUUCUCCGAACCUCUUUCUUGCUGCUCGCUGCUACUCCUCUCCCCAUCCCCACGCUUACAUCUUAUUCUCCUAACCUCGCUGCUGAUCUUCUCUGAAGUCUGAACCCCCUACUAUUGCUGCUGCUGCUCUCUCUCUCUCUUUCUUUCUCUGUAAUUCAAUAGAACUAGUACUGUAUAAUGAUAUGAUAUGUUUAGUUUUAGACUUGUGCUGUGUGGUUUUAAAUUGCUGAUCCAUGAACUGAAUCGUGGCAUAUGACUCUCUGUUCUUAGGUGUGGUAAUUAGUUACACAUGUCACUUGUGUUCUGCACUUGUUGAAUAAAGGACAUCAAUUUGUAGUACUUGUGUUAGAUUUGUUACUGUGGUACAAAUGUUUUCAAUUUGUAGUACUUGUGUUAGCCGAGCAUCAUCGCUGAUCAUCUAGUCCCCGAGGAGAAACGACAUCCGCUGUUUGUGGGAGAUUCACUUCACUAUAUUUACAGUCGAUCACCUAGUUGCAUUUAUUUACCGCAACAUGCGAUCGUGAUGACACAUUCGUUCAUGUUGUAUUGCUAUUGAUUUUGUCUCUCCCCUGACGGUUUUUGGGCAUUGUUAUGCAGGAGCCAUGGGUUUGACUUAGGCAAAGGGGAUCACCCUCACCGUCUCCUUGUUUUGGCCUCCUCGCGUUUCUGCUCGGCGUCGUUGCAGAAAACAAAAAGGGAGCUCCGCAUCCGAGUCUCGGUCAUCUUGUACAGCAAGGAGUUGGGCCAAGGGAGCAAGCAGUGUUGCUGGUCCUUGAGGCCGGAUUCACUAAGAUGGUGCACCACGACGUGCGACACGAGAGCUUCAGGCAUAAAAGGAAGUUGGAAGUGCGAAACCAUGAAGAUUGCUCAAGAAAGUGUAGCAUAUUAUAUAUUGGAAUAGUAGACAUAUCUAGGUUGUAAAGAUUGUAAUAGACUAAUUUAGUGUUGUUUUUGACGAAUUUCAUGUGCUCUCUGGUCAGUUUGAAAUAUUGAUUAUGUAUGUGAUUUCAGUACCUGUGAAACGAAAACCUGGGAUCCGCUUAUCAAAAC
Molecule: ribosomal RNA, 2762 nt
Filed under: Triticum aestivum (bread wheat)
Lineage: Eukaryota; Viridiplantae; Streptophyta; Magnoliopsida; Poales; Poaceae
Description: partial small subunit ribosomal RNA
Source: RNAcentral